RNAcentral lists this ribosomal RNA (468 nucleotides) under uncultured bacterium. RNAcentral describes it as "partial 16S ribosomal RNA". It matches the Rfam family "Bacterial small subunit ribosomal RNA", at positions 28 to 507 of the family's 1533-position model. The record is from RNAcentral.
GACGAACGCUGGCGGCGUGCUUAACACAUGCAAGUCGAACGGAAAGGCCCUGCUUUUGUGGGGUGCUCGAUUGGCGAACGGGUGAGUAACACGUGAGUAACCUGCCCUUGACUUUGGGAUAACUUCAGGAAACUGGGGCUAAUACCGGAUAGGAGCUCCUGCUGCAUGGUGGUGGUUGGAAAGUGUCGGCGGUUGGGGAUGGACUCGCGGCUUAUCAGCUUGUUGGUGGGGUAGUGGCUUACCAAGGCUUUGACGGGUAGCCGGCCUGAGAGGGUGACCGGCCACAUUGGGACUGAGAUACGGCCCAGACUCCUACGGGAGGCAGCAGUGGGGAAUAUUGCACAAUGGGCGGAAGCCUGAUGCAGCAACGCCGCGUGCGGGAUGACGGCCUUCGGGUUGUAAACCGCUUUCGCCUGUGACGAAGAGUGAGUGACGGUAAUGGGUAAAGAAGCACCGGCUAACUACGUG